GUGCUCACUUCAGCGGCACAUAUACUAAAAUUGGAAAGAUACAGAGAAGAUAAGCAUGGCCCCUGCGCAAGGCUGGCUCGCAAAUUCAUGAAGUGUUCCAUAUUAGA
This 107-nucleotide small nuclear RNA is filed under the name Mus musculus (house mouse). Lineage: Eukaryota; Metazoa; Chordata; Mammalia; Rodentia; Muridae. The record is from RNAcentral.